Molecule: ribosomal RNA, 1005 nt
Filed under: uncultured archaeon
Lineage: Archaea
Description: bacterial SSU rRNA
Rfam family: Archaeal small subunit ribosomal RNA
Source: RNAcentral
CUAAGCCAUGCGAGUCCAGGGGGGCUUUGCCCACCGGCGGACGGCUCAGUAACACGUGGACAACCUGCCCUCGGGAGGGGGAUAACCCUGGGAAACUGGGACUAAACCCCCAUAGGCCAUGGAGGCUGGAAGGCGCCAUGGCUGAAAUUCCGCAAGGAGCCCGAGGAUGGGUCUGCGGCCUAUCAGGUCGUAGUGGGGGUAACGGCCCCACUAGCCUACGACGGGUACGGGCCCUGAGAGGGGGAGCCCGGAGAUGGACUCUGAGACACGAGUCCAGGCCCUACGGGGCGCAGCAGGCGCGAAAACUCCGCAAUGCUCGAAAGAGCGACGGGGGAACUCCGAGUGCCUACGCUUUGCGUAGGCUUUUCCUGAGCCUAAAAAGCUCAGGGAAUAAGGGCUGGGUAAGACGGGUGCCAGCCGCCGCGGUAAUACCCGCAGCUCGAGUGGUGGCCGCUAUUAUUGGGCCUAAAGCGUCCGUAGCCGGUCUGAUAAAUGCCUGGGUAAAUCGUAGAGCUCAACUCUACGGCUCCCAGGUAGACUGUCAGACUCGGGACCGGAGGAGGGAGAGGGUACUCCAGGGGUAGGGGUGAAAUCAGCAGAGCAUCACUCUGAUGAUGUGAAUUGCUCUGCAAGUCACAAUCCUGUAAUCCCUGGAGGACCACCGGUGGCGAAGGCGCUCUCCUAGGACGGGUCCGACGGUGAGGGACGAAAGCCAGGGGAGCAAACCGGAUUAGAUACCCGGGUAGUCCUGGCCGUAAACGAUGUGGACUUGGUAUUGGGAUGGCUACGAGCUGCCCCAGUGCCGUAGGGAAGCCGUUAAGUCCACCGCCUGGGGAGUACGGUCGCAAGGCUGAAACUUAAAGGAAUUGGCGGGGGAGCACCGCAACGGGAGGAGCGUGCGGUUUAAUUGGAUUCAACGCCGGAAAGCUUACCAGGGGAGACGGCCGGAUGUGGGCCAGGCUGAAGACCUUGCCCGAACAACAGGCAGAGAGGUGGUGCAUGGCC